UGGGGAAUCUUGCACAAUGGGGGAAACCCUGAUGCAGCGACGCCGCGUGAACGAUGAAGCCCUUCGGGGUGUAAAGUUCUUUCGACAGGAACGAUAAUGACGGUACCUGGAGAAGAAGCUGCGGCUAACUACGUGCCAGCAGCCGCGGUAAUACGUAGGCAGCGAGCGUUGUUCGGAGUUACUGGGCGUAAAGAGUGCGUAGGCGGCGAGCCAAGUUUGGUGUGAAAUCUCCCGGCUUAACCGGGAGGGUGCGCCGAAAACUGGUUGGCUAGAGUAUGGGAGAGGAAAGCGGAAUUCCUGGUGUAGCGGUGAAAUGCGUAGAGAUCAGGAGGAACACCUGCGGUGUAGACAGCUUUCUGGACCAAAACUGACGCUGAGGCACGAAAGCGUGGGUAGCAAACA
Molecule: ribosomal RNA, 402 nt
Filed under: uncultured bacterium
Lineage: Bacteria
Description: bacterial SSU rRNA
Rfam family: Bacterial small subunit ribosomal RNA
Source: RNAcentral